Long non-coding RNA from Felis catus (domestic cat), 2046 nucleotides. RefSeq lists it as uncharacterized. The record is from RefSeq and is a predicted model, not a curated record. Lineage: Eukaryota; Metazoa; Chordata; Mammalia; Carnivora; Felidae. The transcript has 3 exons.
AGUGCAAAUACUUUGGCCUAACAGGUUCUUCUGCAUAAAGGGAGCUGUGACCUUUCAUGACAGUCCUGGAAGCUUGCUAAUUAAAAGCUCGUGGAGUCUUGAUGUUCUGCGCAAGUGACUGGGCUGUGGACUGUACUCCAUGGACAAUGAAUCUCGCAUCGUUAGCAGCUAUGAUAGUUCCUCACACAAAAUGAAUGUUCAUUACAUGUUUGCUAGAAGGGACAAAUGAAUGGAUUUGCCAAAUGGACAAGUUAAUUAUCUUCUGAAUCCAAAAUUAGAACCCUUGGUCUGAUACAUUUUGUGUAAUGAAGAAGAGUUCAAGUAACUUCUAAAAUGAUUGCUUAUGGUAGGAGAGGCAAAUUGCCAUGUUGUCAUCAGCCCCAUGGAGACAUCCAGGGGGUGUCCUCAGUUUUUAAGAACCUGCAAGGAAGUGACACAUGCCAACAACCAGAUGAGAGCACUUAGAAGCAGUUCCUUGAACUUCAUGUGAAUCUUCCCCCUUGGCUGACAACCUGAUUGCCGCCUCACAAGAGACCUCCAGCUAGAGGCUGAGCUUGGAUUCCUGACCCAUGGAAACUGUGAAAUAAGAAAUUUUGUUGCUUUAAGCUGUUAAAUUCGGGGGCAACUUGUUGCCCAGAUAUAGACAACUAGACACAGAUAAGAAAGAAAGCAGGGGUAAGCUACUAUUCUUAUUUGCUGCUCUGACCCACAUGUUGAUUUAGUAUGAUGUUUACUCUUCAUAGAGUAAUAUUGUUCUAGUUUCUUGGCUGAUAGCUCAAUGUCUUCAUGUAGACAUGUGCAAAAAGCUGAAAAUUAUCUUGAUUUUAACCGUUUAGGUAAAGCAUCAGCUAGCAAAAUGCCCCAAAGCAACUCAGUUAACAAAUAUUACUUAUUGAGGCCUGUUCGUUGCUGCCUAGGCCAUGGUAAAUGGUCACUUAUGAAACCUUAUGGCAGCUCUUUUAUUUUCCAAAUAGAGAAGCUGAAGCUAUGGAAAGUCAAGUAAUUUGCCCAGGAUUAUGCUGCCAGUAAUUCAUAGAGUCAGGACUAGAAUCCCGAUCUCAUUUCAUCAAUCAGCUAUCCAUAUUGCCUCUUAGGUAGCCAGCAGGUGUAUCUCCAUUACUGAGUUCUCUUCCAAUGUUUCAAAGACCAUUAUUUCCCCCAACGAGGAAUAAUAUAGCUGCACAGCCCAGUAGACAACACUGGCCUCUCGGGUGAAUGAAGACUCUGCUAGAUGUUGGGGAUUCAGUGAAGAAAAUAGAGUCCUUUCAAAGUAUUUCAGUCUAGAGGGAAGAGGCAGAAAUGGUCUGUUAACUAUGCUAUCUUUCUGGUUUGGGUGGGAUUUAGCAGUCCCCAGUUGGCUUUGGUGUGAGAUACAUCUGUGCUUGAAACCCUAGUUUCACUUUUUAUUGGCUGUGUGAAUGUCACUUUGCACAAGCUAUGAAAUCUCCGUCAGCCUUCGUUUCUCCACAUAUAAACUGGUGACAAUACGUCUGCCUGUAGGGCUGCUGAGGGGAUUAACCAUAGUGUAUGCAAAGUACCUACGAUAGGUUUAAGAUAGGUGUUCAGAAAUGCCUGAUUCUGCAUUGGAACCACGUUUCAAGAGUCACUUCUGCAGGAUGACUUCAUAGCCAAAACUUAAAGCCCUGAUGAUAUUAACUAGUCUUAAACAAACACUGUCUCUUUACCUCACUUUGACAGACUAAGUUUCAGGCUCUGUAAUUCAAUUGUUGCCAAUUUGGCAACGGUAGUAUUUGUUGUUCUGUUCUGUGCAGCUAUGCACGUUUUCAGUAACCUGAGUUAUCAUGCUUUGGCCACAGGGAACUGCAUUUGGUCUCUUGCAAGAUGCACUGAGCCCCUUUAUAUUUUCACAUUGAUUCAAUAAAAUGGCUCACUGUAGAUGCAGCUCAGAUGAGAUAUUUGCUGUAUAUUUUGUGUAACUGUUGAGUGCAAAAUAUGCAAAUUUCAAGCUCAUGUUUAUGUGAAUAAGCUAUGGCAAUGAAACAAUGAAAUACUUAAACAUAAAAUCAUAUACAUAUGAUACAUAUA